RNAcentral lists this transfer RNA (74 nucleotides) under Thermoleophilia bacterium. RNAcentral's name for it is "tRNA-Ile". It matches the Rfam family "tRNA". Rfam says of the family: Transfer RNA (tRNA) molecules are approximately 80 nucleotides in length. Their secondary structure includes four short double-helical elements and three loops (D, anti-codon, and T loops). The record is from RNAcentral. Lineage: Bacteria; Bacillati; Actinomycetota; Thermoleophilia. RNAcentral also lists the same sequence under 3 other names.
GGGCGAUUAGCUCAGCCGGUUAGAGCGCAUCUCUGAUAAGGAUGAGGUCCCUGGUUCGAGUCCAGGAUCGCCCA